Molecule: long non-coding RNA, 6516 nt
Organism: Oxyura jamaicensis (ruddy duck)
Lineage: Eukaryota; Metazoa; Chordata; Aves; Anseriformes; Anatidae
Exons: 2
Source: RefSeq, a predicted model, not a curated record
UUUACUUUUGUGUGGGGGAGAAGAAGGGCCAGUGCUGUCAUUGUGCUAUAGCAGCACUAAAAGAGUAGGCAUAUUUCGGAGUAACACCAUGGGCACAUUAAAAGAUGCCUCUUGCAAGGAGCCCGUUAUCUGUUCAUUGCGGUCUGUGCUCCCACCCCUGUUCAUUUAAGCUCAGAAGAUGCAUGAGAGCUUCUUUAUCUGAGCAGCUUGUUGCACUAUCCUUUCUGAUCUGAAAAGCAAAAUUUGGUAGCUGGGUCAAUGGCCAAUUCCAGGUGGAGAAGAGGGGCAGCCUUUUCCUUCUCCUCCUGACAAGAUAAUUGGCAAAAGCUCUGUCAUGGUCUAUGCCCUGAAUUUUCUUCUUCUUUCUACUGCUUCCAAAAGUUUUAAUGCUCAUAUGUGACCACUGGCCUGAUUCUGGUACAGAAAAGGAACAGUGUUUUUGCCCUGUGGAAUAGUGUGGAUCAGCACAUCACAAGUUUUAUUAUGGUCAAAGAUACAUUAAUAAUUCUUUAUGCCCAUAAAAUAGAUUGAAAUCUCCAGAAAAAGAUUCAGCGGAAAAAUAAGCUGCUGCUCUAAGUCAUGUCUUAAUUUGUCACUAAUAUUCAGCUUUUGAUUUCACUAAUAAUUCUGAAAUGAGAUUCUUUAAUUCCAACUCAGAUUUAAGGCUUGUGAACACUGCAGAUAUGGUAGAAGAUAAGUCUAGCACGGGAGUCAGUGAAUGCAGACCUGCUUUCUGCAUCAUUGUGCUCUGGGAACAAAAGAAAGGUUGGUUAAUCAUUUCACCUUUGAGAGAAUUCCAGGAAUCUUCAGCACUCCAUCUCAGGAAUCUUAUAACUCCACAGGCUCUAGCUAAUCUGCAGUGAAGCGUAUCUAGUGCCCCGGGGAUUUCAUUUCUGAAGUGACAUAUUUGUACUUUGGGGAGAUCUCUGAAAGAGACCCAUCAGGAUGUGAUUUGGAAGUUUGAAUUCGAGGCAGUAAUUCAAGGACUAUUUUGAAUUUGCAGACUCAGUAUCUAUUCGUUGCCAGCUAAACCUUAGAAGUUACGACUACCGGUGUUGUGUGAUAUACGGAGGUCUGAUUCCCCAUCACGAGCACACUGUGCCUGAUAUCCAGAAUAAAGAAGGUCUUGGGGGGUGAAUGCUGAGCAUUCUUUGCACUGAAGGCUAUUGGACCUCCCACCUUUGAUUAUUACAAGAAUUCCUUUGCAGGUAAUAAUGCAGUAUUUUAGCGCUCAGAAAAAUCCUUUUCCUUUCCUUCUUGCCUUUCAUUAAAAUCAUUUUUCCCCCUUAACUUUCCCUUCUAAAUAUAUCUUUUGUAAUAGCAAGGUAUUCACUGGCAAUUCCAGCAAAUAGGAUGUCUGGUGGAAAAGCAUACAGAAACCGUAGCCAGUUGCUAGUGAGACUUAGAAUGAAAGAUCUAAAAACUGCCCACAUUCCACAAGCUCCAGGGCUCCUUUAAAACUGAAAUUGCUUCAAGUACGAGAACUAUUCCCACACCGCAGAAAAUAAAUGACUGAAUGUUUGCUGCCUACAUCCGACAUUCAGAUUGCUAUGGGAUGACAGUAAAGGAAAAUUUUUUUCAGCUGAAACUAGAAACUGUAUGGCCAGUCGGCGAGGCUGAAGGCAUGCAGGCUGUUCCAGAUGGCAAAGCUGUACAGAAGAAAUAUUUGGCAUGGGUAGCAGAGUGACCAAACUGCCUGGAAAGAAGGCCAUGGUUAGAUGGGUCAAAAAUUACAGGGCAGAAUGGAUCGAGUCAAGGGGAGGGAGAUUGAACUAUAUUUUGAAAUUCCUGGAGAGCCAUAAGGACUGUGCAAGGACAGUGGUGACGCCACCUUUCACACACAAAGGCUCAUCUUGAGUCACUAGGGGAUUAGAAAAAGCUGGAAUUUGAGGAAAUGAUUGCCCAGGCAGUCCUUUCUGUCUAGAGAAGGUAGAGAGGAACAGGCGCUAAUGGGUCUGGGGUGGAUCCGGGCCUGGGAAGAAGGAAUUAAAAAUAGCAGAAUAUAAGAUCAGAAAACAUUUGGAGGAAGGAAAAGGAAAGAGAAAAGAAACAGCCAGAAUGAGAAGUGGAAAUGAGUCAGGAGGGAGGAAGAGAGCACAAAUGGGAAGAAAUCUGGGCUUAUAAAGGAAAGGCAGUCUCUGGAAUGGAAAAGGAGAGCUAAGGAGAGUUGGUCUUAACAAAACAAUGGUGAGAAGCAGUGCCAAGAACAUGCCCAUUCUUCCAUUAGAAAAUUUGGAAUUGUGAUUUAUUUUUUCUUUGCUAAUUCGGCUGCUGUAGGUGAGUUAAGAAACAAACAAACAAAAAAGUGGAGGAAGAAAGCAAAGAAAUAGAAAAGGGAAGCCUUCAACAAGAAAGGGGAGAAAAGUGAGCGCGCUACGACGUGCAUACCUGGGAGAGCUGGAACCAGUGGUCUCCUUAUAGAAAAGAAAAAGAAGGCAUGUGAAGAAGGAAGAAGACAGGUUCUUGUUAUCAGUACAGACUGGCCAGGAUUAAUUGGCAGAAAAGUCUGGCAGGUGAUGCAGAUGGACUCUGUGUUUUGCUGUUUGUGCUUUUUUCUCCAAGCAGAACAUAGAAACUCCCCCCGGUCCCUUCCCCGCCACUGCAGACCAGAAACAUCUUGCAAAGAAGUUCUCCAGAAAACUCACACAUGAAGUCCUAGAAUAUAUUUUUAUAUCAACAUUGCUAUUGUUACAAAGCCAAAGAUAAAGGUGCAAAACAAAAAGCAAACCCCUUUGCAACCCACAAUAAACAUACCAUGCAUUUAUGGGUGUUUUAAGUGGAAAGGAAUGAAGUUCAGCGCCUGGGUAAUUUGCACUUUGCACAGAACAUCUGUUUUAUGAUUCUUUCUCUCACUUAUUAUAUGGAGCAGACUGUGUGUAAACACUGUGUGUCCUGGCCCCAGGCUACACCCUGCAUCUUCAUUCGUCCCAGUCUCCAGAUUUGACCGAGUUCCUUGGAAACCCAGCAGGGCCUGCUAGGAGAAGUGAGUUAAACCCUGGCUCCUUGCUGUAGCCCUGCUGCUGACCUCUCCGCGUGCGGGGAGAAGAAGCCACGCUGACCCUUGCCACCCUCGCAAGCUGCUUGGACUUUGGGAGAGGGGACGGCUGUGAAUAAUGCCAGCGAUGCCCGGGAGUGCUGAAAGGCAGCAUGACUCCUCUGAAGCUUGACACAGGCUGCCGGUCAGCCGUGGCCAACUAAUUGUGCCCCGGCACCUUUUGAAAUGAUGGGGGAAAGCAGCUGAAAGGGCCUCUUCAAAGCCGACCGAGUCCCCGGAGGCUGAAGGUGCAGCACGGUGUUUGUUUGUGAAAGUCGGGCGCGUCUGGCUGCCCGGCCGUGUUCAGCCGAAUGGCUGGCUGCGUAUAUUUAGCAGCAGCUCUGACUCCUCACUGAACUCAGCCCCUGUAAUUAACACAUUCGCUCCUGCUCUUUGCUGCAGGGAGCCAGGAGGACCCAGGGGGAAAACAGCAUUUGUGAGCGGGCUCGGAGCAGCCAGCCCCACUGGCCCUGCAGAGCCUCGGAGCAGCGCUUGCAAGCACAGGAGCCGCCUGGCUGAGGGGACCUCAAGCUUUGGGGUGCCAGUCCCGAGCACUGCCCUGGCACGGAUGCUGUCCUCAUGGGAAGCCUGCAGCGGGUGGCUCUCGCUUGCUUCUUCGUCCCCAGGCUAGGGAUGCUGCUGCUGCACAGCACUGCUAGGCGAGGAGCUGGACGCGGACACCUGCCCGGCCUCACCCACGCCUUCCUCAUCUUCUGCAGGCUCUCUCUGCUUAGUUCCUCCCCUGAUUGUUCAGACAGGGCCCAGAUAGGAAUCAAACAUCCCGAUUCAGUCUAAUUCCAAACACUAGCUGUGUUUACCCCUAAUUUUAUAGCUCUUCCCCCAAGCCAAGAGCCAAACCGAGAAAAAAACACAGUGAAGCUGAAGAGCGCCGUGCUGCAACAAAGCACUGGCAACAGGCAGGCCCAAGCAAAUACAGCGGUAAGUGCACGUAACGUGGCACUUUUACCUUGUGUUUUGGUGCAAAAGCACACAGCUGAGCAAAUCCAGCUUCUUCAUGUGGGAGGGAGCCGGUGCCAGCCCCGCAGCCUGGUGGCACCGAGCACACGGGAUGCACUGGGUGCUGCAGGGGUGGGAAGAGUCAGGCCCAAGGAACUGGAGCGGAGUCAUCGCUCCCGGGGUAAAUACGCAGGCAGUUCUGCAGCUGACCUGGUAGCAGCGCCAGUGAAGCUAAAUCAGGUCUGCUUGCCUGGCCCGACAUGAAUGUGGUCAUAUUUCUAAGAAAUCCGAGUAGCUGGAUCCUCAGAAAUGCUCAAAACACCCAUAAUUUAAACAUGUUAGAGCUGGAGGAUGCUUGUCCAUGCGCUAGUGAGAAAAGGAGCAAGCCAAAGUGAGUUCAGCACCAAUUUUUAUAAACUAGACUGGAAAAUGUUUUAAGACAACUCAGGAACAUGCUUUACUGCUGCUUUGCAUGAAGAUAAAAUUUGCAAGAUGCUGAAUACAGCAAGGGUCCUGCAUUUUUGCCCUGUUUUCUGGGAUUUUGAAAGGGCGGGUUUGCUCCCUGGGCCAGGCAGGGCAGAGGCUCAUUUCCUGCUGCAUGAACCACAGCUGCAAAGGGGCUUUGGAGAACGAGAAGGUUGCAUCAGAGCCAAUUUCGGGAGAACAGAGAGGAGGGAGAAGACAAAAAGGAAAGCAAGCAAGCAGAAUAAAUCCGAAUGUAACAAAAUUAUAGUCUGUAUUGAAAACUCAACAUUUGGAAUCGAUUUUUUCCAUCAGACUAAAGGCCAAGACUUUCGCUGUUGAAAUAUUGGUCUGUUUUUAAACUUGUGCUAAAUGUCAUAUCUAGACAAGCUGCAGGUGAAACACCAGGAAGAAAGAACUGAUGCCAUCCGAAAACAUUUUACUGUCAAGUUUAAUGUGAUGCUCUUGCUUUGCUUGCUUUGUUUUCUUGUUUCCUGCCGUGUACGUGGUGCAGGUUUCCUACGUUCCAUCAGGUGGCUCAGGUUCCCUUAAUUUUCUGGCUGCCUCCCAUUCCUAUCUCCCCCUCCCUUCUCUUUUAGGGAGCAAAAGCCCGUCUCCCUUGUGGCAUAACAUUAGCACCAAAGUUUCAGCUUAAUUAUGUAUGCAGGGGAGAAGAGUUUUAUUUGCAUCCUGUAAAUGUGCAUGAAGCUGGAAACAAACAAAGCUGCAGCACCUUUAUGAAAACGUCUUGCCUGUGAUCAGAGCUCCUUCUGCUCCGUUUUAGCAUGGGCUUUCAAUUGUUUCACUCUAGUUCUCCUUUCUCCAUUGUCUUUCUUCAGAGCACUAUUGCUUUCCUAUCUGGCAUUUUCCUCACUGUCCCCAAGCAACCUCUUUUACUUGCUCUCUCCUACAAUAACCCCAUUCCUCAUUAUUGUUUCCAUUCCCUUUUUUUGUUCUUUCACUUGAUCAAGGCCUGGGGGCCCCAGCUCGGUGCUGGGGGCUCCACGUUCAGCCUCAGCACUCAGCCGACACCUCGGAGCUGGAGCGCUGUCCCCUGCGCGUCGGCUCGCGCUGGGUGCCAUCGCAGGAGAGGCUCGCCAUGCUCUCCGACGAGCAUUGUAUAUCUGCUUUGCAGGAGCAGACGUAAUCUAUCAAAGCAGCAAUGAAUCAGGUCUUUGAUGCAAAUAAGAAGCAGCCACAUGGCACAAAGCAUUUGGGAGCACUUCAGGCUAAAAAGGAAAAAAAAAAAAGAAAAAACAGAAAAAGAAAAAGAUGCAGCUGUGAAGAAUACAAAUAUUGGCUCCUCAAGGAACCCUCCAUAUUGUAUCCAUUAUUACAAUCUACUUAUUUGUUCAGGGCUAAUGCUCUCCAUUUUGAGAUUGUCAUGGAUCUGCUUUCCCAUCCUCAGGGAAGGUCUAUGUGGCAUUCGUCUGCAGGAGGUGGCUGCAGAAGAAGCCCUUCUCCCCUUGUCUGGCUGGCAGAGCUGAUAGCUGUGUGAGAGAACCUGCUAUUAAAAUGAAUAAGGACCCUUUUCUGCAUGAGAAAGAAGAAAAAAAAUUGGCUUGUUCCCACCUUUCCCAUCUUCUCUUGCUAUGAAAAAAAUCUGAGCUGCCUUUCUCGCAGCAGCUAUUGUGAGUGCCUUGUAAUGGAGCCUGCUGGAGGUGUGGACUGUUAUAGCCCUCAUGAAAGCUUCUCUGCAGAAAUGUGAAGCGCUGGCUUUGCUGAGUUCCCUGUACAUUUGGUGUUCUGGCAAGGGCUGCCCACGUGGCUCUGCAGCCUGCGAGCAAGGCCCCGAGCAGCUGAGAACUGAGGUUAUCUCCUGCAGCCCAAUGUGGGUCUGUCGCUGAGAUGCCAGCCGAGAGCUUUCCCAUCAUCUAUGGGAAAGGCAGAAGAGAGAAGGCGAAGCUCGAAGCUGCGGCCGUGCACGGAGUCACUGCGGUGCUCAGCGUGCUCGGCCCCAGGUCCGCUCCGUGGAUUCAGGAGAAACAUUUCAACCUUUGUGUCCUGCCUGAGGAACGAGCCACCUGAACAAUGCUUUGGCAAAAUAAAGGGAUUGUUAAGGA